RNAcentral lists this ribosomal RNA (163 nucleotides) under Olea europaea subsp. europaea. RNAcentral describes it as "LSU_rRNA_archaea". It matches the Rfam family "Bacterial large subunit ribosomal RNA", at positions 1037 to 1201 of the family's 2925-position model. Lineage: Eukaryota; Viridiplantae; Streptophyta; Magnoliopsida; Lamiales; Oleaceae. The record is from RNAcentral.
AGUUAAAGCCCCUAAAGGAUUGCUCAGUGAUAAAAGAGUGUAGGAGUGCAGAAAUAGCCAAAAGGUUUACCUAGUUACAGCCACCCUUGAAAGAGUGUGUAAUAGCUCACGAUCGAGUGCUCUUGCUCUGAAGAUGAAAGGGGCUAAGCGAUAUACUGAAAUU